This is a small nuclear RNA of Erinaceus europaeus (western European hedgehog), 97 nucleotides long. The record is from Ensembl. NCBI's taxonomy places the organism in Eukaryota, Metazoa, Chordata, Mammalia, Eulipotyphla, Erinaceidae.
AGUUUUUACACGAACUCUAACUGGACUCAUACAGAGAAUAUUAGCAUGGCCUCUGCACAAGGACGAAAUGAAAACUUGGGAGGCCAGGGAGUGGUAC